AAAGCUGUGAUUUUGUCAAAGAGAGGAAAAGGGGGUGGGGCGCAAUUUGGAACUCUAAGCAUCUCAGAUACGGAGUGUUGGUUGUCGUCAAGGUUGCUGGUUCGAGGCUCGAUUUAAGAUCGUAGCUCUUUGUUUUCGGUUUGAGAUUAGUCCGACAUCUGUUGAUUCAGGCUUCAGUUGUUUCGGGUUUUGGGUUGUAUCGUUUGCUCGAUUUCUGUCCGUGUACUAUUGGAAAUUUCAUCAAAUGAAAGUUCGAUUUUCAAGUUUCAAUCAAGAUUGAAACCCGUUCGAGCUCGUUCAGUCGAGGUCAUCAAAGGUCCACAUUCACGUUUCCUUUCAAUUUAUGUCAUUUUCUACUCAAAUUUUGUGAAGUGUUAUUGUUUGGUGCUUUGCUAUUCUUCAUUUGUUUAUCUACUG
This 417-nucleotide long non-coding RNA is filed under the name Nicotiana benthamiana. RNAcentral describes it as "long non-coding RNA (NBEN_LNC021855)". The record is from RNAcentral. Lineage: Eukaryota; Viridiplantae; Streptophyta; Magnoliopsida; Solanales; Solanaceae.